AUUGAACGCUGGCGGCAGGCCUAACACAUGCAAGUCGGACGGUAGCACAGAGGAGCUUGCUCCUUGGGUGACGAGUGGCGGACGGGUGAGUAAUGUCUGGGGAUCUGCCCGAUAGAGGGGGAUAACCACUGGAAACGGUGGCUAAUACCGCAUAACGUCGCAAGACCAAAGAGGGGGACCUUCGGGCCUCUCACUAUCGGAUGAACCCAGAUGGGAUUAGCUAGUAGGCGGGGUAAUGGCCCACCUAGGCGACGAUCCCUAGCUGGUCUGAGAGGAUGACCAGCCACACUGGAACUGAGACACGGUCCAGACUCCUACGGGAGGCAGCAGUGGGGAAUAUUGCACAAUGGGCGCAAGCCUGAUGCAGCCAUGCCGCGUGUAUGAAGAAGGCCUUCGGGUUGUAAAGUACUUUCAGCGGGGAGGAAGGCGGCACGGUUAAUAACCGUGCCGAUUGACGUUACCCGCAGAAGAAGCACCGGCUAACUCCGUGCCAGCCGCCGCAGUAA
Molecule: ribosomal RNA, 506 nt
Filed under: uncultured bacterium
Lineage: Bacteria
Description: partial 16S ribosomal RNA
Rfam family: Bacterial small subunit ribosomal RNA
Source: RNAcentral